Long non-coding RNA from Piliocolobus tephrosceles (Ugandan red Colobus), 643 nucleotides. RefSeq lists it as uncharacterized. The record is from RefSeq and is a predicted model, not a curated record. The transcript has 3 exons. NCBI's taxonomy places the organism in Eukaryota, Metazoa, Chordata, Mammalia, Primates, Cercopithecidae.
AAUAAUGAUUUGCUUCAGCUCUAGAGAAAUGUAUGAAGGACAGGAGGAAAAGAGUGUGAUUCCGUUACCUGAAGAGGCAACAGAGCAGGAGGAAACUGGACGAUCUGUGCUACAUAAUGUUCAAGUGUACAGAAAAAGGAAGCUGAGAUUGAGAUACUGGAGUGUGAUGAAUGAACCCCAGAGAUCGAUGUUCUAAACUUAGCCCAGUCUGCAUCUCCCACAUGAAGGAACCCAAGGAAUGGUCACGUUUCCAUAUAUCCACACUUGAGGGACAUGAGAUGGGUGGGUUUCCACAAGGAUCAGCUGGAGGAGUUUCACAUCCAUCUGGUGAAGCUGCAUGAAGAUAAGCCUCGUGUUUUCCAGGUAACUGCAUUGCUCUACAGAGGCAAUGCCGAAUUAUUUUAUUUCCUCCCAUCAACCUCUUUCUGAAUAUUUGCGGAUACAGGUUAAAUGUCUCUUAACCAAAAUUCUUGGAACCAGAAAUGUUUUGAAUUUUUUCAGAUUUUGGAAUAUUUGCACAUACAUAUGGAGACCUCUUAGGGAUAGGACCCAAGACUCAAUGCAAAAAUCAGUAAUGUUUCACACGUAUCUCAUACGCAUAGCCUGAAAGGAAUUUUAUAAAAUAUUUUAAAUUAUUUUGUGC